AAUAAGCGGAGGAAAAGAAACUAACAAGGAUUCCCCUAGUAACUGCGAGUGAAGCGGGAAAAGCUCAAAUUUAAAAUCUGGCGGUCUUUGGCCGUCCGAGUUGUAAUCUAGAGAAGUAAUGCCCGUGCUGGACCGUGUAUAAGUCUCCUGGGAUGGGGCGUCAUAGAGGGUGAGAAUCCCGUCUUUGACACGGACUACCAGUGCAUUGUGGUAUGCUCUCAAAGAGUCGAGUUGUUUGGGAAUGCAGCUCAAAAUGGGUGGUAAAUUCCAUCUAAAGCUAAAUAUUGGCGAGAGACCGAUAGCGAACAAGUACCGUGAGGGAAAGAUGAAAAGAACUUUGGAAAGAGAGUUAAACAGUACGUGAAAUUGCUGAAAGGGAAACGCUUGAAGUCAGUCGCGUUGGCCAGGGAUCAGCCUUGCUUUUGCAUGGUGUACUUUCUGGUUGACGGGUCAGCAUCAAUUUUGACCGCUGGAAAAGGGCCUGGGGAAUGUGGCAGCUUCGGCUGUGUUAUAGCCCCUGGUCGCAUACAGUGGUUGGGAUUGAGGAACUCAGCACGCCGCAAGGCCGGGUUUCGACCACGUUCGUGCUUAGGAUGCUGGCAUAAUGGCUUUAAGCGACCCGUCUUGAAACACGGACCAAGGAGUCUAACAUGCCUGCGAGUAUUUGGGUGGAAAACCCGAGUGCGCAAUGAAAGUGAAAGUUGAGAUCCCUGUCGUGGGGAGCAUCGACGCCCGGACCAGAACUUUUGGGACGGAUCCGCGGUGGAGCAUGUAUGUUGGGACCCGAAAGAUGGUGAACUAUGCCUGAAUAGGGUGAAGCCAGAGGAAACUCUGGUGGAGGCUCGUAGCGAUUCUGACGUGCAAAUCGAUCGUCAAAUUUGGGUAUAGGGGCGAAAGACUAAUCGAACCAUCUAGUAGCUGGUCCUG
RNAcentral lists this ribosomal RNA (927 nucleotides) under Agaricus bisporus (cultivated mushroom). RNAcentral's name for it is "LSU rRNA". It matches the Rfam family "Eukaryotic large subunit ribosomal RNA", at positions 45 to 959 of the family's 3401-position model. Lineage: Eukaryota; Fungi; Basidiomycota; Agaricomycetes; Agaricales; Agaricaceae. The record is from RNAcentral.